UGCAGCGACGCCGCGUGAGGGAUGAAGGCCUAUCGGGUUGUAAACCUCUUUCAGCAGGGACGAAGCGAAAGUGACGGUACCUGCAGAAGAAGCACCGGCUAACUACGUGCCAGCAGCCGCGGUAAUACGUAGGGUGCGAGCGUUGUCCGGAAUUACUGGGCGUAAAGAGUUCGUAGGCGGUUUGUCGCGUCGUCUGUGAAAACCCAUCGCUCAACGAUGGGCCGGCAGGCGAUACGGGCAGACUUGAGUACUGCAGGGGAGACUGGAAUUCCUGGUGUAGCGGUGAAAUGCGCAGAUAUCAGGAGGAACACCGGUGGCGAAGGCGGGUCUCUGGGCAGUAACUGACGCUGAGGAACGAAAGCGUGGGUAGCAAACAGGAUUAGAUACCCUGGUAGUCCACGCCGUAAACGGUGGGCGCUAGGUGUGGGUUCCUUCCACGGGAUCUGUGCCGUAGCUAACGCAUUAAGCGCCCCGCCUGGGGAGUACGGCCGCAAGGCUAAAACUCAAAGGAAUUGACGGGGGCCCGCACAAGCGGCGGAGCAUGUGGAUUAAUUCGAUGCAACGCGAAGAACCUUACCUGGGUUUGACAUAUACUGGAAAGCUGCAGAGAUGUAGCCCCCCUUGUGGCC
This 629-nucleotide ribosomal RNA is filed under the name Rhodococcus sp. So1Ps_771. Its description in RNAcentral is "bacterial SSU rRNA". It matches the Rfam family "Bacterial small subunit ribosomal RNA", at positions 387 to 1028 of the family's 1533-position model. The record is from RNAcentral. Lineage: Bacteria; Bacillati; Actinomycetota; Actinomycetes; Mycobacteriales; Nocardiaceae.